UACAGAGGUCUCAAGCGUUGUUCGGAUUCAUUGGGCGUAAAGGGUGCGUAGGUGGCGGGGUUAGUCAGGUGUGAAAUCUCGAGGCUCAACCUUGAAACUGCACUUGAUACUGCCUUGCUCGAGUACUGGAGAGGAGAUUGGAAUUUACGGUGUAGCAGUGAAAUGCGUAGAUAUCGUAAGGAAGACCAGUGGCGAAGGCGAAUCUCUGGACAGUUACUGACACUGAGGCACGAAGGCCAGGGGAGCAAACGCG
RNAcentral lists this ribosomal RNA (253 nucleotides) under uncultured bacterium. Its description in RNAcentral is "partial 16S ribosomal RNA". It matches the Rfam family "Bacterial small subunit ribosomal RNA", at positions 524 to 776 of the family's 1533-position model. The record is from RNAcentral.